This 1074-nucleotide long non-coding RNA is filed under the name Equus caballus (horse). RNAcentral's name for it is "lncRNA (ENSECAG00000049511.1)". Lineage: Eukaryota; Metazoa; Chordata; Mammalia; Perissodactyla; Equidae. The record is from RNAcentral.
UGGACAAAUGAUGCUUUGACACUGAUUUGGAUCAGAUUCCAUCCACUGAUUUGCUGUAUACAACUAAUAAUGAUCUAUACAAUUUACUAAGUGCCACCGGGCAGAUGUGCUAGGGCUUUACAUCCAUCAUCUCACAAAGAUCAUAACUGACCCAUUGAUAAGCAGGUACUACAAAUUAAAAAUUUGGUAGAAGGGAGGUUUCCCUUCCCAAUGGUGUCGGAAUAUUAUGUUCAUUGGGGAAUACAGUGCGGAGGCCUUGGCAUUCUCAUUGGUUUUUAUUUUAUGGAGUUAGCCCACACAACACUCCUGCCUGGGCAGAGCUGAAAUUCCCGUUAGGAAAUGAAAUGAAUACAAAGGUCCAUUUGGAGCUUGUGUUGAGGCAACCUUCUUCAUCUUCAGCUCCCAAAGGGGUGGAACAUCUCGGACUGAAAAAUCCUGCUAACCAAGACUCCUAAUCUUACUAACCGAAAGUUUCUAAGGCAUUCAUGAAUGCUUGAAUGUCAACAAUGAUAGUUUAUAAAUCUUUUACCGUGUCUAUAUGGCUGUAAAAACAUUGUCUGGACUUACUCUUACGCUAACACUGUGCUUAAUAACUGUACAACCUUGAGCACAUUCCUUGACCUUCCUGUCUCAUAUUUCUUGCCUGUAAAAUUGGAAUAAGAAUAGUACUACCUCAUAGACUUGUUUGGAGGAUUUAAGUGGCAUAAAUGCCACUAUUCUUGGAACUGUGCCUGGGAAAAGGUAACAAUAAAUGGUAAUGAUCAUUAUUGUUAUUGUUUUUAUUGUUAUUUUCUCAUAUAUAGGCUGUCCUCAUAGCACGCCAAGACAAUUCAGUCAACUUGAGGGGGAAAAUAUCAGUCAAAAUAAGGAGUUGGUGCUGCAACAUUUACUUUCCAUUUGGUUGUUUUAUCAUUGUGUCAAAGAACAACAAACAGCAUAAUCUCUAUUCUUAAAACUUCCUCAGCCUUCUGAUCUUCCCAGAGUCACAGAAAGUAGGAUUUGAAUAGCUUUCAUCUAGUUUGUCUUAGUAAUAGACCCACAGUCCAUCAAGAAACAAAUGCCAUUCUAUAGCCC